GCACGAAUGGCGGAAUAGGUAGACGCGCAUGUUUGAGGGGCAUGUAGUGUAAAAACUGUGCGAGUUCAAGUCUCGCUUCGUGCACCA
This 87-nucleotide transfer RNA is filed under the name bacterium. Its description in RNAcentral is "tRNA-Leu". It matches the Rfam family "tRNA". From Rfam's summary of the family: Transfer RNA (tRNA) molecules are approximately 80 nucleotides in length. Their secondary structure includes four short double-helical elements and three loops (D, anti-codon, and T loops). Further hydrogen bonds mediate the characteristic L-shaped molecular structure. tRNAs have two regions of fundamental functional importance: the anti-codon, which is responsible for specific mRNA codon recognition, and the 3' end, to which the tRNAs corresponding amino acid is attached (by aminoacyl-tRNA synthetases). tRNAs cope with the degeneracy of the genetic code in two manners: having more than one tRNA (with a specific anti-codon) for a particular amino acid; and 'wobble' base-pairing, i.e. permitting non-standard base-pairing at the 3rd anti-codon position. The record is from RNAcentral.